CCUACGGGUGGCAGCAGUGAGGAAUAUUGGUCAAUGGACGCAAGUCUGAACCAGCCAUGCCGCGUGCAGGAAGACGGCUCUAUGAGUUGUAAACUGCUUUUGUACGAGGGUAAAUCCCGAUACGUGUAUCGGGUUGAAAUUAUCGUACGAGUAAGGAUCGGCAAACUCCGUUCCAGAAGCCGCGGUACUACGGGGGAUUCAAGCGUUAUCCGGAUUUAUUGGGUUUAAAGGGUGCGUAGGCGGUUCGAUAAGUUAGAGGUGAAAUCCCGGGGCUCAACCCCGUCGAGCCGUUGAAACUGGCAGACUUGAGUUGGCGAGAAGAACGCGGAAUGCGCGGUGUAGCGGUGAAAUGCAUAGAUAUCGCGCAGAACACCGAUUGCGAAGGCAGCGUACCGGCGCCAGACUGACGCUGAGGCACGAAAGCGUGGGGAUCGAACAGGAUUAGAUACCCCAGUAGUC
RNAcentral lists this ribosomal RNA (459 nucleotides) under uncultured bacterium. RNAcentral describes it as "partial 16S ribosomal RNA". It matches the Rfam family "Bacterial small subunit ribosomal RNA", at positions 338 to 795 of the family's 1533-position model. The record is from RNAcentral.